AUGCAGCCAGGUGGAGGAGGAGGAGGCGAGCAUGGCUGCACGGAGCAGCACCACACGCAGGCGACCGGCCGCCGCGACGACGGCACUCAGUCCCAUUCGUCACCACCGUUCCCGGCCAUUGUCCCCAUGGCUUCUCAGGAAAUGGCGGACGAUGAGUUAACUGAUAUGAUGUAUGACAUGGAGUUUGGAGAACUGAUGAGAGACUGGAUAGAAGAUUGGUCAGAUGAUGAAAAUUCAGAUCGUGGAGAUAGGUCAGAGAAUGGGAAUGAAUUGGAAGAUCUUAAUGAAAACAAUGAGCAUGAUGAUGGUGAGGAAAACAACUCAGAGAUCUCGAAUGAAGAUUACAUUAGUCAGCUCAUUUCCGAAUUUCAUAAUGCGUACGACUAUUACGGUGAAUCCGACGCGGAGACAGGCCUUGAUGAAGAAUCAUUAGCUGCACCUGAUUCUGGGGAGUCGCAGUCGUGGGUCAUCAUGAGUGAGGUGACAGAUGAUGAGGGGAAAAAGAAUGUCCAAGAUACUGCCAGUGCAGAUGAUAAGAAGGAUAUGUUCAUGUAG
RNAcentral lists this ribosomal RNA (555 nucleotides) under Triticum aestivum (bread wheat). Its description in RNAcentral is "partial small subunit ribosomal RNA". Lineage: Eukaryota; Viridiplantae; Streptophyta; Magnoliopsida; Poales; Poaceae. The record is from RNAcentral.